AUGCUGCCUUCCAAGGUAAAAAAAACAGAGGAACACCACGGCCAUCGUAGCUGCUCCAUGCUGGGCGCCUUGUCGUCUUCGCCACCGGCGCCUGCUCCGCCACCGGCGCUCCACGCCGGAGCCUCAGAAGCUGCCACGAACUGCACCGCCAUAGCCACCCCGUGCCUUCCCUCUCUCGUCCCCAAUCUUUCCCUCUCUUGUCCCCAAUCUCGGGGUGGGAUUGGUAGUGCACGGUGAAGAAGAAGGGAAGAUCCAGGCUCGGAGAGGAGGAGGAAGAGCAAGUGGUCCAGGUCACGAAGGCAUCAGCGCUGACCCCCCCACCCCAACCCACCCAGACAAGCCCAUGUUUGAUUGCUGUUGAUUCGAUGACCUGCUGCACACAAGGUGUUCGAGAUGCCAUCCGAAAGUCGUAGUUGAAGGUGACACACAGCUGAUUGGUUUCUGUACUUCUAAUUGAUUGCAUCAAGCUGGAACGCUCUUUACAUUGUCUUUAGAACAGUAGGUAGUGUACCUCUGUGUUACAUUGUUAUCACAGCUGUAUGCAGUGUACUUGUGUUACAUUGUUGGCCCUGUGUUGCUAAUUGAUACUUUGAUGUCGUUUUCAAAUUUGUGAAGAUGUUCUAAUGCUUUAGAUUAUUCGCUUGUACGAUGGUACUUCUAGUCCA
This is a long non-coding RNA of Triticum aestivum (bread wheat), 665 nucleotides long. RefSeq lists it as uncharacterized. NCBI's taxonomy places the organism in Eukaryota, Viridiplantae, Streptophyta, Magnoliopsida, Poales, Poaceae. The record is from RefSeq and is a predicted model, not a curated record. The transcript is spliced from 2 exons.